UAUACUUAUAAAUGUGCCCAAAAACAUUUAUUUUUUAUUUCACUAUUUCAUAUUCUGCACAAUUUAUGGUGCCCACACUAUUAUUGUUUAUUCCAAUGUAAAAAUAAAAGUGCAAAAAAUUGUGUAAAAGAAUUUUUCCGCUUAAGGGAGUUGGACAUAAUGGAAAAGCAAAAAAAUGUUUUUUUGCGAGCAAAAGUAUUCUGCUCCUUUAAUUCGAAUUUGAGUAAUAUAAAAAAAACAAAAAACAAAAAACAAAAAACAAAAAACAAAAAACCUAGUCCAUAUCAUUUCAUAAUAAUAUAUUCUUUUUUCACACUUUAUGUGUUAACUUAUUAAUGUUGUUUUUUUUUUUCUUUUUUUUUUAGCCAUGCCUCCUAAUUACAAAAACGUAAAAUCCGACUGCAACGAUGAUGUUGAUAGAAUUAUAAAAAAUGCAAAAAAUCCCUGGGAAGUUCUUCAGGUAAACGAAUUUUUGGAAAAAAACUUGGAUGAUAAAGCAGAGUUGAAAAAAAAAGCAAAGAAGAAUUACUAUAUGUUGGCAUUAAAGGUUCAUCCUGACAAAAACAACAACACAAAUGUAAGUAUAUUUGAUAUAUACAUAUAUAAAAUAUACUUUUGUACAAAAGAAAAAAAAAAAAAAAAAUGCAAAUCUUUUUAAAAACUGACAAACCAUUUUUU
Molecule: long non-coding RNA, 678 nt
Filed under: Piliocolobus tephrosceles (Ugandan red Colobus)
Lineage: Eukaryota; Metazoa; Chordata; Mammalia; Primates; Cercopithecidae
Description: lncRNA (ENSPTEG00000004082.1)
Source: RNAcentral